AUCACUUCUCAGCCUUUUGGCUAAGAUCAAGUGUAGUAUAUGUUCUUAUUAAUUUAAUAAAAGCACCAGUGGCUCGUUAGCGGCUCCCUAGGUCAAUGUUUUAUAGGGAAUUGUACAUUAGAAGAAGUGAGAUAUUCAGCAAAGCAUCCUCU
Molecule: small nuclear RNA, 152 nt
Filed under: Panthera leo (lion)
Lineage: Eukaryota; Metazoa; Chordata; Mammalia; Carnivora; Felidae
Description: U2 spliceosomal RNA (ENSPLOG00000016292.1)
Rfam family: U2 spliceosomal RNA
About the family: U2 is a small nuclear RNA (snRNA) component of the spliceosome (involved in pre-mRNA splicing). Complementary binding between U2 snRNA (in an area lying towards the 5' end but 3' to hairpin I) and the branchpoint sequence (BPS) of the intron results the bulging out of an unpaired adenosine, on the BPS, which initiates a nucleophilic attack at the intronic 5' splice site, thus starting the first of two transesterification reactions that mediate splicing.
Source: RNAcentral